CGUUCAUAAGAAGGAUUCAAACCUACGAUUCCUGUAUGCUAGACGAGCGCUUUAUCAACUUAGCUACUGAGC
This 72-nucleotide transfer RNA is filed under the name Aedes aegypti (yellow fever mosquito). Its description in RNAcentral is "partial tRNA-OTHER". The record is from RNAcentral. Lineage: Eukaryota; Metazoa; Arthropoda; Insecta; Diptera; Culicidae.